UACGGAGGUGGCAAGCGUUGCUCGGAAUCAUUGGGCGUAAAGGGCGCGUAGGCGGUGGGGUAAGUCUGGUGUGAAAUCUCGGAGCUCAACUUCGAAAUUGCACUGGAUACUGCUCUGCUAGAGGGCUGGAGAGGAGAUCGGAAUUCACGGUGUAGCAGUGAAAUGCGUAGAUAUCGUGAGGAAGACCAGUGGCGAAGGCGGAUCUCUGGACAGCUCCUGACGCUGAGGCGCGAAGGCUAGGGGAGCAAACGGG
This 253-nucleotide ribosomal RNA is filed under the name uncultured bacterium. RNAcentral describes it as "partial 16S ribosomal RNA". It matches the Rfam family "Bacterial small subunit ribosomal RNA", at positions 524 to 776 of the family's 1533-position model. The record is from RNAcentral.